AGGGUGUGCUCAGAGCAGGGGGCCUAAAAAUAGCUCCUCUGUUUAUUAUACACCUGAAAAGAAUCUAGGGUCAUUGUGAUGAGGGGCACAAAACUUGUGGCCUUUCUACGAAAAAAUUCCUUACAUGU
Molecule: small nucleolar RNA, 128 nt
Organism: Otolemur garnettii (small-eared galago)
Lineage: Eukaryota; Metazoa; Chordata; Mammalia; Primates; Galagidae
Source: Ensembl